CCCUUAGAUGUUCUGGGCCGCACGCGCGCUACACUGACCAGUGCAACAAGCAUCCGUCCUUGGCCGACAGGCCCGGGCAAUCUUUGAACGCUGGUCGUGAUGGGGAUAGACUUUUGCAAUUUUUGGUCUUCAACGAGGAAUUCCUAGUAAACGCAAGUCAUCAACUUGCAUUGAUUACGUCCCUGCCCUUUGUACACACCGCCCGUCGCACCUACCGAUUGAAUGGUCCGGUGAAAUCUCGGGACGGCGGCUUGGUCGCUUGCGUCCGACUGCUGAAACUUGAUUAAACCAUAUCAUUUAGAGGAAGGUGAAGUCGUAACA
This 321-nucleotide ribosomal RNA is filed under the name uncultured eukaryote. RNAcentral's name for it is "partial 18S ribosomal RNA". It matches the Rfam family "Eukaryotic small subunit ribosomal RNA", at positions 1470 to 1796 of the family's 1831-position model. The record is from RNAcentral.